GUGCCAGCAGCCGCGGUAAUACGGAGGAUGCAAGCGUUAUCCGGAUUUAUUGGGUUUAAAGGCUGCGUAGCUGUUCUGCAAGUCAGCGGUGAAAUGCCCGGGCCUAACCUGGGAACUGCCGUUGAUACUGCGGACUGGAAUACGGAUGCCGUGGGAGGAAUGAGUAGUGUAGCGGUGAAAUGCAUAGAUAUUACUCAGAACACCGAUUGCGAAGGCAUCUCACGAAUCCGUCAUUGACGCUGAGGCACGAAAGCGUGGGGAUCAAACAGGAUUAGAUACCCUGGUAGUCCACGCAGUAAACGAUGAUAACUAACCGUCGGCGAUAGACAGUCGGUGGCCAAGCGAAAGCGAUAAGUUAUCCACCUGGGGAGUACGUUCGCAAGAAUGAAACUCAAAGGAAUUGACGGGGGCCCGCACAAGCGGAGGAACAUGUGGUUUAAUUCGAUGAUACGCGAGGAACCUUACCCGGGCUCGAACGGCUAGUGAAGCGAUGCAGAGAUGCUGACGUCCUUCGGGACACUAGUCGAGGUGCUGCAUGGUUGUCGUCAGCUCGUGUCGUGAGAUGUUGGCUUAAGUGCCAUAACGAGCGCAACCCUUGCUGUUAAGUUACCAUCAUCAAGUUGGGGACUCUAACAGGACUGCCACCGCAAGGUGAGAGGAAGGCGGGGAUGACGUCAAAUCAGCACGGCCCUUACGUCCGGGGCGACACACGUGUUACAAUGGGGGGUACAGAGAGCUGCUGGCUGGUGACAGUCGGCCAAUCUACAAAACGCCUUCUCAGUUCGGAUUGGAGUCUGCAACUCGACUCCAUGAAGCUGGAUUCGUAGUAAUCGCGCAUCAGCCAUGGCGCGGUGAAUACGUUCCCGGGCCUGCACACACCGCCCGU
Molecule: ribosomal RNA, 886 nt
Filed under: uncultured bacterium
Lineage: Bacteria
Description: bacterial SSU rRNA
Rfam family: Bacterial small subunit ribosomal RNA
Source: RNAcentral